Molecule: long non-coding RNA, 3537 nt
Organism: Triplophysa rosa
Lineage: Eukaryota; Metazoa; Chordata; Actinopteri; Cypriniformes; Nemacheilidae
Exons: 5
Source: RefSeq, a predicted model, not a curated record
AAAAAUAUAUAAUUACCCAUAAAUAAGGAAAUAAAAGUAUAAAUACUCAUUUAUUUUUGCUUUUUUACAUUUCUUCAUGGAUUUAUUUUUGUAUUUAUUUAUUUUUAAUAUUGUCACUUUUGGAAUUCCAUAGAGGGUGGGGACAAAGACGCGACACCGGCGAGAGAGGAUAUGGAAGGCCAACAGGGCCAAAACGCCUCUCUCCACGUGAAACAAGGGAUCCUGCCGUGAUUCUGCCACAAGAUCAAGAAAGACAUGACAAGAUGGGGAACCCCUGCCUCAAGGAGCGACAUCCUGACGCUCCUCAAGGGCAUGGUGCAAGGACCGAUAAAGCAGCUGAUUUGGGUACCAAAUGAGGAGGAGGCAACGGAGAUCGCUAGAAGGUUUCAGGAAGCACACAACAUCCCGCAAAUAAUGGGACUUAAAGAUGGCACACAUAUUCCCAUCCUUCCUCCUUCAGAUGGGUACAAGGACUUUGUCAACAGAAAAGGGUGGCCGUCUUACGUCUUGCAAGCGGUUGCUUCACAAAUCAUGUUUUUGGAGCAUCAGCUGUAAAAUGCCUGGCAGCGCACAUGAUGCCAAUGUGCUGCGCCAGUCUGAUCUCUUCCAAAGAUGUCACCUGCUGCCAAAGGGUGUGAAAAACAUCGAGGGACAGGACACGAGACUUUUAAUAGUCGGGGAUCCUGAAUACCCACUCCUCGACUGGCUCUUGAAAGGGUACACAAACUCUGCACGUUUAACCCCAGAACAAGAAUCUUUUAAUGUGUACCUGAGCUCACUACGGGUAGGAGUUGAAAACACCUUUGGGAUGUUAAAGUCAAGAUGGAGGGUGGUGUUAAAAAGGAGUGAUUUUCACUUUUCCAUUAUGCCGGCUGUGACUGCCACCUGCUGUGCACUACAUAACUUCUGUCAGAAUGAGAAGGACAAUACCAACAGCAGGUGGUUGGAAGAGGCUUGUGACCUCAAUGCCAUGUAUCCUCAGCCUAACCAGCCAGUGAAUGUGAAGUACAGUGCAACUGGAAACAAUGCAAGAACAGCUCUCACAACUUCUAUGUCAAACCACUUUCCCCUAUGUGCAGGGUAUUUCCACUAAAUGAAGCCACUUAAAAACAACACUGCGUUGAAAAGAUCGUGUAGGCUAUGGUCAGAGCUACAGUUUCUGCUGCCAUCUGGGCUACUAUGGGAGUGGUACAUUGGCCUAUUGUAAAACUGGCCCAUGUAUUGCUGUUGAGGCUGCAGAAAAGGCUUUGGAGGCUGUCCCGGGAAAGGAGGAGCUGCUUGGUAGGGUUGAGGAACAAUACUCCAUCAAUAGACCAUCAAAAUAUCCAAGACCAUCAAAUAUCUUUCCUAACAGACAUUCAGUUGAGCGAGUGCUUUCUUCCAUAAACCUUGAAAGUAACAUCUCAUCACGUUGUUGAUUUCUCUCUUGGUGGUGUUCAAUUCUAUCCAAGAAGGAUUUUUGUUCAGCUGACCAAACCUGCAUGAGUUUAGCAUUAGCAUAAGCAUAACAUUUUUUCCCUAAAAAAUGAAAAUAUAUGCAUUAUUUCAAAUGUCUGAUUGCAGUGACAAUCAAAAGAACACAUAAUACCUGUUUGUUUACAUAUUACCUAAUAUUCAUGCAUCUGUUAACUAAAACAUACUGCAACGUACAUUUAAAAAAUGACAAUAGGUAUAUGACAACAUUAAGUUCUUCUUAUUGUGUGUCACAAUAACAUAAAGUUCCACUAACUGUGUGUGUGUUUCUCUAUAAACACAAGAAACUGCUUUUUUAUUUUGAGAAAUUGCAUACAAACCAUGUGUUGUUCUGUUAAGCACUUAACAGCCAAGUAAAACUAAAAACUUUGUAAAACCUUCCUGUUUUUCGAUUAAUAAAGAAUGGUGGGAAAUUGGUGGGAAAUGAAGCAACAUAAAAACUUAUAAGCAGUAACUUGAUAAACAGUAAUCGAAUGAAUUGAGUGCAUAGAUGUAAAUAAAUGUAAAUGCACUAAAAAGGCAAAUGUAUUUAAAAUGAAUGACUCAGCAUUAAACCCACUCUUUUUUGCAGCCCUUUCUUGGCCUUCACCGGUUUGUGCUCAAUACUGCAUUUAAAUGUGGAGGUAGUUGCACAUGUGUUAACUCGCUGUUUAUUCAACUCAAAUGUUCCUGAAUUCAUCAACAGUACUAAUGGACAAAUAAAAUAUAUACAUUAUGUUUAGUGACUUAAGUAAAUAUGUUAAUUUACAUGACUUAUAUGUAUCUAUGCAAGCAGUGAACGAUGCUUUGUACCACAUGUUAACAGACGUAAGCUACAUUACUGUGAUGUGUAUUUCAUGUUGUGAUGUGCUCAUUUGCAAUACUUAUCGAGAAAAUGUCAGGUCACAUGUUACACAGACAUUAAAAAGCAUCUUUAACAUCCGUAUGGUUUACGUUAAGUCUACUUCGAAGACGCGUGUGUGCGUGGAACGCCCCUUUAAGCUAGACAUACAAACCCGAUUCCAAAAAAGUUGGGACACUGUACAAAUUGUGAAUAAAAACAGAAUGCAAUGAUGUGGAAGUUUCAAAUUUCAAUAUUUUAUUCAGAAUACAACAUAGAUGACAUAUCAAGUGUUUAAACUGAGAGAAUGUAUCAUUUUAAGGGAAAAAUAAGUUGAUUUUAAAUUUCAUGGCAUCAACACAUCUCAAAAAAGUUGGGACAAGGCCAUGUUUACCACUGUGUGGCAUCCCCUCUUCUUUUUAUAACAGUCUGCAAACGUCUGGGGACUGAGGACACAAGUUGCUCAAGUUUAGGAAUAGGAAUGUUGUCCCAUUCUUGUCUAAUACAGGCUUCUAGUUGCUCGACUGUCUUAGGUCUUCUUUGUCGCAUCUUCCUCUUUAUGAUGCGCCAAAUGUUUUCUAUGGGUGAAAGAUCUGGACUGCAGGCUGGCCAUUUCAGUACCCGGAUCCUUCUUCUACGCAGCCAUGAUGUUGUAAUUGAUGCAGUAUGUGGUCUGGCAUUGUCAUGUCGGAAAAUGCAAGGUCUUCCCUGAAAGAGACGACGUCUGGAUGGGAGCAUAUGUUGUUCUAGAACUUGGAUAUACCUUUCAGCAUUGAUGGUGCCUUUCCAGAUGUGUAAGCUGCCCAUGCCACACGCACUCAUGCACCCAUACCAUCAGAGAUGCAGGCUUCUGAACUGAGCGCUGAUAACAACUUGGGUUGUCCUUGUCCUCUUUAGUCCGGAUGACAUGGCGUCCCAGUUUUCCAAAAAGAACUUCAAAUUUUGAUUCGUCUGACCACAGAACAGUUUUCCACUUUGCCACAGUCCAUUUUAAAUGAGCCUUGGCCCAGAGAAAACGCCUGCGCUUCUGGAUCAUGUUUAGAUAUGGCUUCUUUUUUGACCUAUAGAGUUUUAGCCGGCAACGGCGAAUGGCACGGUGGAUUGUGUUCACCGACAAUGUUUUCUGGAAGUAUUCCUGAGCCCAUGUUGUGAUUUCCAUUACAGUAGCAUUCCUGUAUGUGAUGCAGUGCCGUCUAAGGGCCCGAAGAUCACGGGCAUCCAGUAUGGUUUUCCGGCCUUGACCC